Molecule: transfer RNA, 74 nt
Filed under: Gemmatimonadota bacterium
Lineage: Bacteria; Pseudomonadati; Gemmatimonadota
Also listed under: 6 other names
Description: tRNA-Ile
Rfam family: tRNA
About the family: Transfer RNA (tRNA) molecules are approximately 80 nucleotides in length. Their secondary structure includes four short double-helical elements and three loops (D, anti-codon, and T loops).
Source: RNAcentral
GGGCCUGUAGCUCAGGUGGUUAGAGCGCACGCCUGAUAAGCGUGAGGUCGGAGGUUCGAGUCCUCCCAGGCCCA